ACCCACUUGGCAAUGUGUGUUUCUUUGUUUUAAUCUUAACCACUGAAUUUAAUUAAUCAAUGGCUCUUAUUUACUAUCCUCAACUUAUUCUCUCAUCCAAUCAAAUAAUCAGAAAAUAAAAAAUAAAAAAAUAAGAAAAAGUUAUCAUAAUAAACUUGAUCCCUUGAUUAAUCGGAUUCAAUGGCUAAGAUUGAAACAAAUGAGACACACACUGUCAAUUACCUGCUUGAGAAUGUGUGUUUCUUUGUUUUAACUGUGACCAUUGAGUUUAACUAAUCAAGGGCUCUUGUUUACUAUCCUCGAUUUAUUCUCUCAUCCUCUCAAAUAAUCAAAAAAUAAAAAAUAAAAUAAAAAAUUAAAAAGUUAAGGAUAGUAAACUUGAGCCCUUGAUUAAUCGGAUUCGAUGGCCAAGAUUAAAACAAAGAGACACACAUUGCCAAUCACCCGCUUGGCAAUGAGUGUUUCUUUGUUUUAAUCCUGACCAUUGAAUUU
Molecule: long non-coding RNA, 492 nt
Filed under: Lathyrus oleraceus (garden pea)
Lineage: Eukaryota; Viridiplantae; Streptophyta; Magnoliopsida; Fabales; Fabaceae
Description: Pisum sativum (pea) long non-coding RNA (PSAT_LNC012708)
Source: RNAcentral